UGCCAGCCGCCGGGUAAUACGGAGGGGGUUAGCGUUGUUCGGAAUUACUGGGCGUAAAGCGCACGUAGGCGGAUUAGUAAGUUAGGGGUGAAAUCCCAGGGCUCAACCCUGGAACUGCCUUUAAUACUGCUAGUCUUGAGUUCGAGAGAGGUAAGUGGAAUUCCAAGUGUAGAGGUGAAAUUCGUAGAUAUUUGGAGGAACACCAGUGGCGAAGGCGGCUUACUGGCUCGAUACUGACGCUGAGGUGCGAAGGCGUGGGUAGCUAACAGGAUUAGAUA
This 278-nucleotide ribosomal RNA is filed under the name uncultured bacterium. RNAcentral describes it as "partial 16S ribosomal RNA". It matches the Rfam family "Bacterial small subunit ribosomal RNA", at positions 506 to 784 of the family's 1533-position model. The record is from RNAcentral.